GAAUCGGUUGGCAGAAAAGUGGUCACAACACACAAGCCACAGACUGCUGCAUCCAGUCCCAUAAGAAAGAAAGGAUCCCUGCUCAUCCCUACAGAACAACGGCUUUCCUUUCUGAGGGCUGCUAAUGGAUGUCUGAGAGGGGAGAGGGGUCCAGAAAUUUGCCCAAAGGCCAUUCUGAGGAUCGGUUGGCAGAAAAGUGGUCACAACACACAAGCCACAGACUGCUGGAUCCAGUCCCAAAAGAAAGAAAAAAAAUCCCUGCUCAUCCCUCCGGAACAACAGCUUUCCUUUCUGAGGGCUGCUAAUGUAUGUCUGAGAGGGAGAGGGGUCCAGGAAAUUUACCCAAAGGCCAUUCUGAGGUUCGGUUGGCAGAAAAGUGGUCACAAAACACAAGCCACAGACUGCUGCAUCCAGUGCCAAAAGAAAGAAAAGAUCCCUGCUCAUCCGUCCGGAACAACAGCUUUCCAUUCUGAGGGCACACUGAGGAUCACUUGUCAGAAAAGUCAUCAGGAAACACAAGCUACAGACUGCGAAAUCCAGGUCCGAGGGAAAGAAAUUAUCCGUGCUGGUCCCCCCAGAACAGUGGCUUUCCAUUCUGAAUUACGGUGGCAGAAGCCCAAAGGCGGCCCACAGAGGCACUUUCAGAUACACAUGCCUGACUGA
Molecule: long non-coding RNA, 663 nt
Filed under: Monodelphis domestica (gray short-tailed opossum)
Lineage: Eukaryota; Metazoa; Chordata; Mammalia; Didelphimorphia; Didelphidae
Description: lncRNA (ENSMODG00000033601.2)
Source: RNAcentral